GACGAACGCUGGCGGCGUGCCUAAUACAUGCAAGUCGAGCGAACAGACGAGGAGCUUGCUCCUCUGACGUUAGCGGCGGACGGGUGAGUAACACGUGGAUAACCUACCUAUAAGACUGGGAUAACUUCGGGAAACCGGAGCUAAUACCGGAUAAUAUAUUGAACCGCAUGGUUCAAUAGUGAAAGACGGUUUUGCUGUCACUUAUAGAUGGAUCCGCGCCGCAUUAGCUAGUUGGUAAGGUAACGGCUUACCAAGGCAACGAUGCGUAGCCGACCUGAGAGGGUGAUCGGCCACACUGGAACUGAGACACGGUCCAGACUCCUACGGGAGGCAGCAGUAGGGAAUCUUCCGCAAAGGGCGAAAGCUUGACGGAGCAACGCCGCGUGAGUGAUGAAGGUCUUCGGAUCGUAAAACUCUGUUAUUAGGGAAGAACAAAUGUGUAAGUAACUAUGCACGUCUUGACGGUACCUAAUCAGAAAGCCACGGCUAACUACGUG
This 497-nucleotide ribosomal RNA is filed under the name uncultured bacterium. RNAcentral describes it as "partial 16S ribosomal RNA". It matches the Rfam family "Bacterial small subunit ribosomal RNA", at positions 28 to 507 of the family's 1533-position model. The record is from RNAcentral.